AUGACACUCGGUGCGGCGCGGGGAUCCCGGGCCGGCUCGGGCCUGUUUGAGGAGCGCAGCAGGGUGGUGCCGUGCGGGACGCCGUGGGGCCAGUGGUACCAGACGCUGGAGGAGGUGUUCAUGGAGGUGCAGGUGCCGCCGGGCACGCGCGCGCAGGACGUGCAGUGCGGCCUGCACAGCCGGCACGUGGCGCUGGCCGUGGGCGGACACGACAUCCUCAAGGGCAAGCUCUUCGAUUCCACAAUCGCGGAGGAAGGGACAUGGACUUUGGAAGAUAGAAAAAUGGUCCGCCUUGUUCUUACAAAGACAGAGACGCAGCCAACGGUUGGACUUCCCCUCUGGAAUCUGAGUACGCAGCCGAUCCCUGAGUGCAAGACCAAAUACAGAGAAAGCUUACGUUAGAGAGGUCCCAGAAAGAAAAUCCUGGCUUUGACUUCAGUGGAGCUGACAUCUCAGGAAACUACACAAAAGGAGGACCAGAUUUCUCAAACCUUGAGAAGUAACUGCAAUUCU
Molecule: RNA transcript, 513 nt
Organism: Perognathus longimembris pacificus (Pacific pocket mouse)
Lineage: Eukaryota; Metazoa; Chordata; Mammalia; Rodentia; Heteromyidae
Gene name: nudC domain-containing protein 2-like
Exons: 1
Source: RefSeq, a predicted model, not a curated record